CCCUUAGAUGUCCUGGGCCGCACGCGCGCUACACUGAGUGUCUGAGAUACGAGUCUGCCUGGUCCGGCAAGGUCUAGGUAAUCGCUAAAAGACACAUCAUGCUUGGGAUAGAUUAUUGCAAAUAUUAAUCUUGAACGAGGAAUUCCUAGUAAGCGCAAGUCGACAGCUUGCGUUUAUUACGUCCCUGCCCCUUGUACACACCGCCCGUCGCUGCCCGGAACUGAGCCGUUUCGAGAAAGCUGGGGACUGACGGCUUGUGGGUGCGCAAGCACUUCUUGCCGACGGAAACCAGUUUAAUCGGUAUGGCUUGAACCGGGCAAAAGUCGUAACA
This 331-nucleotide ribosomal RNA is filed under the name uncultured eukaryote. RNAcentral's name for it is "partial 18S ribosomal RNA". It matches the Rfam family "Eukaryotic small subunit ribosomal RNA", at positions 1470 to 1796 of the family's 1831-position model. The record is from RNAcentral.